This is a non-coding RNA of Acanthosepion pharaonis, 91 nucleotides long. The record is from the annotation of a GenBank genome assembly. Lineage: Eukaryota; Metazoa; Mollusca; Cephalopoda; Sepiida; Sepiidae.
UUACGGCCAUCACACGUUGAAACACCGGUUCCCGUACGAUCACAGAAGUUAAGCAACAUCGAGUCAGUACCUUGAUGGGUGACCGCUUGGG